Non-coding RNA from Gossypium raimondii (Peruvian cotton), 124 nucleotides. NCBI's taxonomy places the organism in Eukaryota, Viridiplantae, Streptophyta, Magnoliopsida, Malvales, Malvaceae. The record is from Rfam.
UGUUAAACAUUUCAUCCAUUUCUACUAUUAAAAACUGGCAUGGCUAACAGAAUAACCAAAUAGUGACAUGUCGUUGACAUACAAAAACCAGUUUUUAAUAGUAAAAUGGAUAGAAUUUUCAACA